UUUUUACAUGUUAGGUAUGUUCCAUCCUCUGCUAUAGACUCGGUAGAUACCACUGGGCAAAGUCAAGAAAUCGUAACAACUGGAGUAACACAACAACAACAACAAGACGAAGAAAACAGCUUGCAACACAUUUCUAUUUAUGAAGAAAUUCAGAGUAUACAAAGUCAAAUAUACCGUGACGAUACAGACAAUGAAAAUGAAAAUGGUCCUGUUGAUACUUCUGGUAGUGACACGUCUUCUGAGAGACCAUAUUUAGAACUUGAACCUCCCAACACGUAUGAUGAUUUGGAAAAACCGGAAGUUGAAAUGCAGACAUAUAACCAAUAAAACUAUAAUUGUAUACAUAAAAGUAGAUACAAUUGACAUAAUUAACAUAUUGUGUACUCAUAUUUGAACAUUGUUUAAACGACUAUUAGCUACAAUUAAUAUACGUACUUUUACUUCUGUAUGACAUUGGAAUUUCCUUUCAUAAUACAGAGAAGAUAUGUAGACAAUCUUAUUCAAAAACCUUUUUAAUUAUUCAAUGAAUUUUAAAUUAACAAUUCAGAUUAAGGUAAACAAAAAACAGGCAGCUAGUUUUCUCUUUGGAAUUGUCUCACGUUUUGUUCUCCAUGCAGGGACCUACGAUAGCAUGAUAUAUGGUAUGGGUUUCUAAAGGCCGUAAGGUAGAUGCAAUUUUCUCCAGUCCGUUGAUUGACAGUUGGUCUCAAUAGCAGUCAUACCUCAUCUCCUUGUUUUUAUACUAUUUUCAUUAAUUCUAAUAAAUUAAUAGAACUGUUAAAGCUCUGUUAUCAAGACUAAUUCUUCAGAGGACAGAAAUAACUAAAGCUAACCAUUGAUAAAGUAACUGGCUUGGGGCAUUCACGUUAACACGGAGAAGGUGAAACUUGUUUUUAACCCCCACCCCAUCCACCCCUUUUUAUCAAUAUCAGUAGAAAAACGAUGGCCUUCAUAGAGAGAGAAAAAGUAAGACACAACUACAUCGCAGUUAUAGACGGCAAAAACACUAAUAAACAUACAGUACUAACUUAUACCGUAGCAAGUUUUGCUAAUUUUUAGAGUUGAUAUAACUUGUAUGUACACUUAUGCUUAAAAUCAAAUAAAAUCACGACACCUAACACGUGUUUGAGGAAAGUAACCUGCAUAGGGAUAUGACUGAUACCAACAGUUUUGGAAAUUUAUCAAUAUGACCAAAGGGACUUCAUAAAAAAACGUGUAAGGUGAACUUUAAAAACAUAGUUUAUAUACCGUUUUUAUACUUGAAAUUGAACAUCAAAUAUGUCAUUAUUUAAAUCAUGUCACUUUCGAAACACUGUCUUCAGGACGGAACUGAUAUAAACCGUCAGCGGUAGCGACAAAGUAUGAUACGGAAUAUCAUUAUGCGUACGGCGCGUUUCUUGAAUAUCCUGCAUCAUAAAUUCAAAAGAUUACCGGAGAACAUAACCAACAGUACAUAAUUAAUGCCUCUUAAAACUGUCCAUGGUCUACACUGCUUAGUAUAAUUACAAUAAUUAUUAACUGAAAAGUUGUGACAGAAUGUUUCAUGAAGAUCCUGAGUCCUUAACGAAACACUGGCUAACAAAACUGAUGGUACCCUUGGGGACUGAUAAUCCACCAUGCCUACUUAGUGGAUGGUACCCUUGGGGACAUAUAGUCCACCAUGGCUACUUAGCGGAUGGUACCUUUGGGGACUGAUAGUCCACCAUGGCUACUUAGCGGAUGUUUCCCUCGGGGACUGAUACUCCACUAGCAGUUGUACCCUUUUCAAUCUUCCAAAUAGUUAUUUUGGAAAUACAUAUAGUUUUGUCUCUUGUUUUAAAGACUUUUCAAGUAAAACCUCUUACUAGUUUUCAAAUUCAACACAACUAAAUUAAUUUCGCAUUUAUAGUUUAUUUAAUAUUCAAAUCAACUUGGUAUGUAUUUCACUCUGACAAAGAGGUUUGGUAUUUUUUUAAAUAAUUAUGUAGCAAUGAACUGGGAUGUGAUAAACGCUUGAUUUUUAUUACAAAAUGUAUCUUUCAUAAAUAUGAAAACAGGAUUUAUAGACCCGAUGUGUUUUUUUCACUUGAUAAAACCCCGCUCGUCAUCUUAAUUGUCAAUAUUGUAAGCGGAUAAUCCUCUGACAAGCCGGAGGUCCGCGUCAAGUCUUAGACUUAUAUUUAAGAGACUAAAAUAUCUUAUUAAGCAACCCGAGUUGAAUAAAGUAAGGUUGAGAUUGCCGCUGUUUCUUAUCAAUAUAUAUU
Long non-coding RNA from Mytilus californianus (California mussel), 2243 nucleotides. RefSeq lists it as uncharacterized. The record is from RefSeq and is a predicted model, not a curated record. NCBI's taxonomy places the organism in Eukaryota, Metazoa, Mollusca, Bivalvia, Mytilida, Mytilidae. The transcript has 3 exons.